RNAcentral lists this ribosomal RNA (392 nucleotides) under uncultured bacterium. RNAcentral's name for it is "bacterial SSU rRNA". It matches the Rfam family "Bacterial small subunit ribosomal RNA", at positions 29 to 416 of the family's 1533-position model. The record is from RNAcentral.
AUUGAACGCUGGCGGCGUGCCUAACACAUGCAAGUCGAGCGGUAACAGGUGUAGCAAUACAUGCUGACGAGCGGCGGACGGGUGAGUAACGCUUGGGAAGUCUGCCUAUUAGUGGGGGACGAACCCGGGAAACGUCGGGCGUAAUACCGCAUACGCUCUACGGAGGAAAGCCGGGGACCGGCAAGGCCUGGCGCUAAUAGAUGAGCCCAAGUCGGAUUAGCUAGUUGGUAGGGUAAUGGCCUACCAAGGCGACGAUCCGUAACUGGUCUGAGAGGACGACCAGUCACACCGGAACUGAGACACGGUCCGGACUCCUACGGGAGGCAGCAGCAACGAAUAUUCCGCAAUGGACGCAAGUCUGACGGAGCGACGCCGCGUGUAGGAUGAAGUCC